AAAUGUACAGACCAAAAAAAAAUGGCGUCGUAUUGAUUGGGAUCGUACCACAAAAUUGCAAUAAACACAAAAAAAAUCCAAAUUUAUCUUAUGACCUAUGAACCAUCCGAAGGAAAAUUAAUUAAACUCUAAAUCUAUAUGAAAAAACAUCCAAGAAAAACAGUAUAUUUACCAUAAAUUGGCUUUGAAUUUGCGCUUUUUGAGAAGUCGAAUGAUUCAGGAAAAAAACUGCCUGUGAGUGCCGUGGGUGGUGUUUCUGUGUAUUUUUAAGUGAAGUGAUAGUGAUAAGUGACCCAAUAUCCGGAUUUGAGGGUCCUGUUACUCACAGGAAAGCCAGCUACUAUGCGCUGGAUUGGGCUUAGGCUGAUGUAAAAUGGAAAAAAAACCGUCAUGGGAAAAAAGAGAAAUCAAAAAAAUCUAAAAAACGUAGGAUUCGAGAUGGUGUUGCGUGCUCGGUGACCUCUAAACCCCUUGUUGAGUACUCGGAUGUAAGCUCCGAAGAUCUGUCUGGUCCUGAAGCUGGUGAAAUCGAGAGUGGCGAAGAAGGAGCCGGAACAGGCAGUAAUACAGAGGACGGAGAAGUCGCUGAUUUUGGUGAUUUUACCGAGGAGGAGUACACAGCAGAGAUGAGGCGAAAUCAUCAAAGGAGAGCCUACAUGGAGAUGGAGGAGAUGUACUUGGCUAGAGCGUCGACGACUGGUUUGAUGUUGAGUCCUCCAGCAAGGAGACAUAGACUGGACCCAGUGGUAAUGCCCAGAUCUCCCACUCCACCCCUACUAAUAACCUCUCGUGAAAGGCAUCUUUCAGCCUCGGAUUCUUCUAAAUCGAGCGAACUAAGACGCCGGAUUGUUGAGGUUAUAUCCCCCUAUGUGGAGGACUAUGAAAAUGUCGAGAAGAAGAAGAGGAAAAAGAAGGAGAAAAAGCACAAAAAGGAGAAAAAAUCAAAAAAGAAGAAAAAGAAAAGACGCAAGUCUAGCUCGGAUAGUAGCGAUAGCGACGAAGAAGAAUCAAAAGAGAGCAGUCCUAGGACCCCCCCUGCUAAAGAAGAGAGAGAAGUGCAUCCACUGGCCGAAUGGCAGAACCGCGAGGAAGUUAUUGAUCUAUGCACUACACAAGAGUAUUAUGGGGUCGAAGGUGAUGAUAGUCCAGGUUCGAAAAUCGACACUGGUGCUUGUUCUCCUGUCUCUAACGACAGCCAUAUAGCCUCCCCCGAACCUAGCCCCCCUUCCGCGACCCCACCCCCUAGGAUGCCUAGGACCGACUAUUUUCGGGAAUAUCCCCGAGAAAGCCCCCACACACCACCCAUACAUAGUCAUCAUUCUAGCAGGUCAAUAUCAAACCAUCAUAUAACAGUCACAAGAGAGAUAUCGUCGCCUAUAAUUAUCGACGAAUAUAGUAGACACUCUCCUAUCCCUAGAGCUUACACUCCUGAUCCCUCGCAAAUGCACGGUAGCGGCCACCAUAAGCACAGCAGCAGAUCAUUGUCGCCUAACUCUAGGAGACGACGGGAGGCGCAUAGGAAACACCGAAGACAAAAGGAUCGGAUGAGGGACAAGAAAAGGUCUUCUCGGAGUCGCAGUCCCUUGAUGCGAAAGGACUCGCGUUCACGCAGUUAUAGUAGAAAUAGGCAUUAUAGUCCGUCACCAUCUAGAAGUAGGAGUAAGAGACACAAAUCGAGGAGUCCGAGGCGCGAGAGGAGUCCGAGGCACAGGCACCGAAGUCCGUCGCCGCACUCGAUACGACCGUCACAGUUAUCAAAUAAAAUUAGCGAUACUAGUCUAUUUGCCGAACUGAUUAAGGACAAAUAUAAAAGGGAACAAGAACUUAAGAAGCUCGAAGAGAAUUUUAAAACGGAGAGACAGAAUACCGAAACGAUAACGGUAGAAGACGACGUAGACGGCGACCGUAGUGGUAGUAACUCGGAAGUGAACACUAGUUCAGUGCCCAUGGAUAUUGAUAAUAUUCCUAUACCAGAUGCGUCUCCCAAAAAUCAUAAGGCUAGUAAUAACGAAAAAGGUUCAUCAAUAAAUUUGACUGUAUCGGAUAAACAGGCGGCGCCCGCUAAUAUCGACUCUAGGUUGGCCUCUUUCGAUGCUACCCAAGUGAAAACCAACGAUGCAUUAAAAGGAAAACAUAAAAGUGUAACGAUGUUGCCUAUGCCACCGGGAAUGGACGAAACUGAGUUAGAAGCAAUCGAGUCACCUCCAAGCAGAUCGCCGACGCCGCCUCCCAAAAAGGAAAAAACCCCACCGCUUUCCGGUAGAAAAAAUGUGAAGGAUUUGCCAAUGCCUCCUAUUGUUCCGGGUACAGAAGAACUGAGCGGCGACGACGACGACAUACCGUCGACCCCGCCACGUAACGUCCUCAAAAAAGUCGAAAAACCAAAAAAAGAUUUAAACAAAACGCAGAAAGUGGUGAAGCGACCGCGCAUCUUAAAGCGGCGAACUUCGAGAAAUUUCCAAAUGAGCGGCAAAGAUUGGGGAGAGCGUUGCGUCGAUAUGUUCGAGGUUAUUGCGCAGAUAGGAGAAGGAACGUACGGACAAGUUUAUAAAGCCAAAGAUGUGCACGCCAACGAAUUGGUGGCUCUUAAAAAAGUUAGACUCGAAAAUGAAAAAGAAGGAUUUCCGAUUACCGCUGUGAGAGAAAUUAAAAUUCUAAGACAGUUAAAUCAUAAAAAUAUUGUUAAUUUACGAGAAAUCGUCACUGAUAAGCAGGACGCCUUAGAUUUUAGAAAAGAAAAGGGUUCUUUUUACCUGGUGUUCGAGUAUAUGGACCAUGACCUCAUGGGCCUUUUAGAGUCUGGAAUGGUCGAUUUUAAUGAACUGAACAAUGCAUGCAUUAUGAAACAGCUCCUUGAUGGUUUAAACUAUUGCCAUAAGAAGAACUUUCUACACAGAGACAUAAAAUGCAGUAACAUUUUGAUGAACAACAAAGGUGAAGUAAAACUGGCGGAUUUUGGUUUAGCCAGACUAUAUAACGCGGAAGACAGACAACGACCGUACACGAAUAAAGUUAUAACGUUAUGGUACCGACCGCCGGAACUUUUACUAGGUGAGGAACGUUAUGGACCCGCAAUUGACAUAUGGAGCUGCGGAUGCAUCUUAGGGGAACUCUUUUUGAAAAAACCACUGUUCCAAGCAAACACCGAAAUGGCUCAACUGGACCGAAUAUCAAAAAUAUGCGGGACUCCGACGCCGGCGGUAUGGCCGUCUGUUAUAAAACUUCCCCUCUUUCAUGCUUUGAAGCCGAAUAAGCUUCACAGGCGGAAACUUCGCGAAGAUUUUGUCUUUAUGCCGAGUCCCGCUCUCGAUUUGUUGGAUAAAAUGCUCGAGUUGGAUCCGGAUCGGAGAAUAACGGCCGAGGAUGCUUUAAAAAGCCCAUGGUUAAGGAAUAUCGAUCCCGAUCAGAUUCAAGCACCGGAACUACCCACCUGGCAAGAUUGCCACGAGCUCUGGAGCAAAAAGCGUAAAAAACAAAUCCGGGAACAGCAGGAGAGCAUGUUAAACCUGCCGCCGGGCAAACCGGCCGUGCUUCCGUCCCGUCCCGAAAAGGGCGCGGAGAAAAUCGAAGAAAACGAGGGCGGGAACCACAGAUCCUCUCAAACCUAGAAUCUCUCCUAAACGAGUUAAGAUCAAUAUGCAAGAGCAACCCAGGAUCAAUUAACCUACUUUUCCUGCAUUUUGACGAUAGACAAACUGGUGCAUCUCUUAACACUGAAAAAGUUUGCAAGACUCUGUCGGACCUUUUUAAGCAAUUCGGACUUCAGAAUGGGUCGGCGGGUGUUAGACAACUUGCAAAGAAGAACUAUGGUUAAAUACGUUUAUUUUUUU
RNAcentral lists this unclassified non-coding RNA (3830 nucleotides) under Anthonomus grandis grandis. RNAcentral describes it as "cyclin-dependent kinase 12". The record is from RNAcentral. Lineage: Eukaryota; Metazoa; Arthropoda; Insecta; Coleoptera; Curculionidae.